Molecule: ribosomal RNA, 464 nt
Filed under: uncultured bacterium
Lineage: Bacteria
Description: partial 16S ribosomal RNA
Rfam family: Bacterial small subunit ribosomal RNA
Source: RNAcentral
GAUGAACGCUGGCGGCGUGCUUAACACAUGCUAGUCGAACGGAAAGGCUCCUGCUUGCAGGGGUACUCGAGUGGCGAACGGGUGAGUAACACGUGGGUGAUCUGCCCUGCACUUCGGGAUAAGCCUGGGAAACUGGGUCUAAUACCGGAUAGGACGAUGGUUUGGAUGCCAUUGUGGAAAGUUUUUCGGUGUGGGAUGAGCUCGCGGCCUAUCAGCUUGUUGGUGGGGUAAUGGCCUACCAAGGCGUCGACGGGUAGCCGGCCUGAGAGGGUGUACGGCCACAUUGGGACUGAGAUACGGCCCAGACUCCUACGGGAGGCAACAGUGGGGAAUAUUGCACAAUGGGCGCAAGCCUGAUGCAGCGACGCCGCGUGGGGGAUGACGGCCUUCGGGUUGUAAACUCCUUUCGCUAGGGACGAAGCGCAAGUGACGGUACCUGGAGAAGAAGCACCGGCUAACUACGU